AUUUUCUUACAGGGAAACAACUCUUUUAUCACCUCUACAGUCAAAACAGAAAUGAUGUUCUCAUGAGGACUUCUUGCUGCAGCGUUAGAUAAAGGCAAGGCCGUGCAAGUGGCAUAAUCGCUGGUACCAAGUGGGAGCUCUCUGCAGGUUCCUCUGUUACAAUGAACUGGCUGAGGUUAUCGUGCAGCGAAGGGAUUUGUGCAGCACAGGGCAGACUGGAAGGCCACGCUGUACGGGUAGCACAGCACAGCACAGGCCUGGGGCUGCUCAGGUUAGCUGUAUUGUGUAUCAACUCCUCGACUUACAGCAGUCUUCCAGUCAGGAUCACUACAAGAUCAAGGAAAAGCAAAGUUCUGAGAACGCCUUGAAGUUCAGCACCUGAAACUAAUAGUGAACAAAUUAUGAAUUAUGGACAGAGAAGAAGCCACCAAAACAGACACAUUCCUAUACUUCUUCCUGAAGGCUCCAUGAAUCUGCAGUGUUUUAAUUCCCAAACUGCAUUACCUACUUUUGCCUACUCUCAUUAUAACCUCCCACGGCAACCACCUGUGAUCAUUGCAAAGAUGAUUCUGACUUCUCAAUGGAAA
Long non-coding RNA from Aquila chrysaetos chrysaetos, 587 nucleotides. RefSeq lists it as uncharacterized. The transcript is spliced from 3 exons. NCBI's taxonomy places the organism in Eukaryota, Metazoa, Chordata, Aves, Accipitriformes, Accipitridae. The record is from RefSeq and is a predicted model, not a curated record.